UUGUCUCAAAGAUUAAGCCAUGCAUGUUUCAGUACAAGCCAAAUUAAGGUGAAACCGCGAAAGGCUCAUUAAAUCAGUUAUGGUUCCUUAGAUCGUACCCACAUUUACUUGGAUAACUGUGGUAAUUCUAGAGCUAAUACAUGCAAACUGAACUCUGACCAGAGAUGGAAGGAGUGCUUUUAUUAGAUCAAAACCAAUCGUCGUGUGGAUUCAAUUCUAGAUUAUUUUUUUUAAAAUUUCUAGUUUGAGUUCACCAUCAUAAAAUUUGGUGAUUCUGAAUAACUUUAAGCUGAUCGCAUGGUCUAGCACCGGCGACGCAUCUUUCAAAUGUCUGCCUUAUCAACUUUCGAUGGUAGGUUCUGCGCCUACCAUGGUUGUAACGGGUAACGGGGAAUCAGGGUUCGAUUCCGGAGAGGGAGCCUGAGAAACGGCUACCACAUCCAAGGAAGGCAGCAGGCGCGCAAAUUACCCACUCCCGGCACGGGGAGGUAGUGACGAAAAAUAACGAUACGGGACUCAUCCGAGGCCCCGUAAUCGGAAUGAGUACACUCUAAACCCUUUAACGAGGAUCAAUUGGAGGGCAAGUCUGGUGCCAGCAGCCGCGGUAAUUCCAGCUCCAAUAGCGUAUAUUAAAGUUGUUGCGGUUAAAAAGCUCGUAGUCGAAUUUGUGUUCCAUGCCGCUGGUUCAUCGUUCGCGGUGUAACUGGCGUGUCAUGGAACGUCCUGCUGGUGGGUUUAGCUUUUUUAUAUUUUCAUAUUAAUCUUUAUAAUCUUUCGGGAUUAUUUAAUUGUAUGUUAUAUAAAUUGGCGGCCCGAUUUAAUCCUGCUGCGGUGCUCUUGAUUGAGUGUCGUAGUGGGCCGGCACAUUUACUUUGAACAAAUUAGAGUGCUUAAAGCAGGCUAAAAUUUUGCUUGAAUAUUGUGUGCAUGGAAUAAUGGAAUAGGACCUCGGUUCUAUUUUGUUGGUUUUCGGAAUUCCGAGGUAAUGAUUAAUAGGAACGGAUGGGGGCAUUCGUAUUGCGACGUUAGAGGUGAAAUUCUUGGANCGUCGCAAGACGGACAGAAGCGAAAGCAUUUGCCAAAAACGUUUUCAUUGAUCAAGAACGAAAGUUAGAGGUUCGAAGGCGAUCAGAUACCGCCCUAGUUCUAACCAUAAACGAUGCCAGCUAGCGAUCCGCCGACGUUCUUUAUAUGACUCGGCGGGCAGCUUCCGGGAAACCAAAGCUUUUGGGUUCCGGGGGAAGUAUGGUUGCAAAGCUGAAACUUAAAGGAAUUGACGGAAGGGCACCACCAGGAGUGGAGCCUGCGGCUUAAUUUGACUCAACACGGGAAACCUCACCAGGCCCAGACACUGGAAGGAUUGACAGAUUGAGAGCUCUUUCUUGAUUCAGUGGGUGGUGGUGCAUGGCCGUUCUUAGUUGGUGGAGCGAUUUGUCUGGUUAAUUCCGAUAACGAACGAGACUCUAGCCUGCUAACUAGGCGUAUUUCAACAUCUUAAAGGCCCGCCAAUUUCCUCUGAAAGUUUUUCUUUUAUUUUUUCUUUCGAAAAAAUAAUUGGGGGCUUUUGGGUUAUUGUGCGUGGUUUUUACUGUUGGCGUUAAAACAAAUCUUCUUAGAGGGACAGGCGGCUUCUAGCCGCACGAGAUUGAGCAAUAACAGGUCUGUGAUGCCCUUAGAUGUUCUGGGCCGCACGCGCGCUACACUGAAGGAAUCAGCGUGUCCUCCCUGGCCGAAUGGUCCGGGUAACCCGCUGAACCUCCUUCGUGCUAGGGAUUGGGGCUUGCAAUUGUUCCCCAUGAACGAGGAAUUCCCAGUAAGCGCGAGUCAUAAGCUCGCGUUGAUUACGUCCCUGCCCUUUGUACACACCGCCCGUCGCUACUACCGAUUGAAUGAUUUAGUGAGGUCUUUGGACUGGUACGCGGUAAUGUUUCGAUAUUACCGAUGUUUCUAGAAAGAUGACCAAACUUGAUCAUUU
This 1975-nucleotide ribosomal RNA is filed under the name Melittomma brasiliense. RNAcentral's name for it is "SSU rRNA". It matches the Rfam family "Eukaryotic small subunit ribosomal RNA". The record is from RNAcentral. Lineage: Eukaryota; Metazoa; Arthropoda; Insecta; Coleoptera; Lymexylidae.